AGGCCAGUAGCUCCAAUGGCAGAGCGCCGGUCUCCAAAACCGGAAGUUGCAGGUUCGAGUCCUGCCUGGCCUG
Molecule: transfer RNA, 73 nt
Filed under: spirochete symbiont of Stewartia floridana
Lineage: Bacteria; Pseudomonadati; Spirochaetota; Spirochaetia; Spirochaetales
Rfam family: tRNA
About the family: Transfer RNA (tRNA) molecules are approximately 80 nucleotides in length.
Source: Rfam by way of RNAcentral